This is a long non-coding RNA of Thamnophis elegans (Western terrestrial garter snake), 1396 nucleotides long. RefSeq lists it as uncharacterized. The transcript has 5 exons. Lineage: Eukaryota; Metazoa; Chordata; Lepidosauria; Squamata; Natricidae. The record is from RefSeq and is a predicted model, not a curated record.
GCCAGAAGGAUUGGCAAUGCUAGUUCAUUCCAAAAAAGGAGUCUCUUAUUAUUAAUUGAGACAUGAAAGUGGACCUUUAAUCGUGCUGUCUUACCCACCCCACUUAGACAUAGGGAAGUAAAAGCUGGAAUGGUGCCUAAGGCUCUAAAUGCUACAUAGAGAGCAUGCUAGACCUUGAGAACUCCAAGACUUGAAGAGGAUUCCCCAAAUGAUGUCCCAAAGAUGUGUCAUUCUAGAAGAGGCAAAUCGCAACAUAUAUAUUUUAAAAUAUAUGUGAUAGGUGAUAGUCCAAACCAUUCAUUUGUAUGCUUGGAGAUGUUCCUUCACUUUUUUAAAAAAAUCCAUUCUCCAUUGCCUUCACAGUGGGAUUAUUGAUAAUCCAUUUCAUGAAGUACAUUUCAUACACAGGAAUGGCUGAAACUAUUCAUGGUUGAAGUGUGCAAGUUUUAUUGAAGCCAUGCUAUUGGGGAGCAGUAAAAAUCUCUUUUAUUCAUUUGAUACUACUGGUAUUCCCACACAACUGAUGCUCUACAUUACAAAAAGAAGAACCUGCAUGCAACAGAAACACCAUCAUAUUUUACUUCAAUUAAAAACCAAACAGCCAUGCUAACUGAAAAUUUAUUUUUAUGUUAUUUUUAAUGCUGUAAUGUUAUGACUCCUGGCACACAGUACUAUGAAGAUGAAGGAAUAGAUCCCUAAUUUUUUAACCUAAGAAAUAAGAUAAAAUAAUUAUGUUUUAAAAUUGGCUCUCACCCAUCUGACUUUCUAUAAGAGCUUUAAGACCUGCCUCUGCCAGAUGGAUUUGGGCCCCAAUUGGGGGGAGGGGCUUCAAAUGGGAUUUGAUUAAGAGUUAAUCAUCCUCCCCCUCCUGUGCAUCUGGCUGCUCCCUUCUUCAUCUUGUGUCAAUGAUUUUAUUCUGUCUGUAUAUUUAUAUCUGAUAAUUUUAUAUAUUUUUACGUUGUAAGCUACCCAGAGUCACUUUGAAACAAAAAAGGUGGCAAAUAAAUUUAAUAAAUACUAAUAAUAAAAUCAGAAUUUGGUAAGCAAAAGCAUAUUUCAAAACUUCAGAACUUGUAUUUUACAACUUUUUACAUUUGUAAAAAUGUUGUCUUUAACAUUUGUAAGGUAGCCAUAGUUUUCUUCCACCACUACCAUUGCUACCACCAGUUACCCUAGACCAGGAAAAAGGAAAAACAAUAACAUUUUUCAGCCUCUUAUAUUUUCAGAAAUAAAAUGCAAAAGUAUCAAUAUUCCCAAUGCCUACACAGUAGGAAAUAAACUAUUAUCAUUCUUUUUGGCCCAAUAUUGAGCAGUGACUGAUUAUUUUUUCACUUUCCAUAUGUUGACCAUACAUUUAAAAGAUUGCUGUGACUACAUGUAUUAUAUGUAUAUUCUU